RNAcentral lists this unclassified non-coding RNA (387 nucleotides) under soil metagenome. Its description in RNAcentral is "partial contains 5.8S ribosomal RNA, internal transcribed spacer 2, and large subunit ribosomal RNA". The stretch from base 1 to 120 matches the Rfam family "5.8S ribosomal RNA", at positions 35 to 154 of the family's 154-position model. The record is from RNAcentral.
GAUGAAGAACGCAGCGAAAUGCGAUAAGUAAUGUGAAUUGCAGAAUUCAGUGAAUCAUCGAAUCUUUGAACGCACCUUGCGCUCCUUGGUAUUCCGAGGAGCAUGCCUGUUUGAGUGUCAUGAAAUUCUCAACCUUUUCAGCUUUCUUUGUUGAUCAGGCUUGGAUGUGGGCGUAUGCGGGCUUCUCAGAAGUCGGCUCUCCUGAAAUGCAUUAGCGGGACCUUUGUUGCCUGGCUUUGGUGUGAUAAUUAUCUACGCCAUUGUAGUCAAGCAGCUUAAAAUGAGGUUUCAGCUUCUAACCGUCUCCCCUGAGACAACUUUUUGACAAUUUGACCUCAAAUCAGGUAGGACUACCCGCUGAACUUAAGCAUAUCAAUAAGCGGAGGA